AUGGGCCUACAUACCAACUGCUCGAAAAGCCUAGUUGCCCCAAUCCAUUGUGACAACUUGGAUCUGAAUGAUAUCCUCCUCUCCUUCCCGGCCAACCGCUCAUAUUUCCCUAUGAAAUAUCUGGGUCUGCCAUUGUCGAUCAAAAGAUUAAAUAGAAUCCACUUCCAACCCGUCGAAGAUAAGAUUGCAGCUCAACUUAUGCUUUGGAUGGGCAAACACGUUGCAUCGCCUGGAAGGGUAGUGCUUGUCAAGUCGGUUGUAACAACGAUUGCUAUAUAUUACUUGACGGUGCUAAACCUCCCUGUUGAGGUAUUGAAAAAGAUCGAUUCCCUGCUGCAUGCAUAUCUCUGGGCUGGUUGUGACAAGGUUUCUGGUGGAAAAUACAAGAUGAACCGGGGGCAAGUGUGCAAAUCUGAAGUGCAUGGUUGCCUAGGUAUUCUCAACUUGGAAAUAUUUUCUGCUGCCCUUCGCAUCUGGUGGUUGUGGGGAGCUUGGACGGAUCCGAGCAAGCCUUGGGUAACCUUGGGGAACCUGUGUGAUGACAAAGAUAAAGACAUAUUUGCUGCUGCCAACAAGGCAAACGGCUUGUAA
RNAcentral lists this ribosomal RNA (591 nucleotides) under Triticum aestivum (bread wheat). RNAcentral's name for it is "partial small subunit ribosomal RNA". The record is from RNAcentral. Lineage: Eukaryota; Viridiplantae; Streptophyta; Magnoliopsida; Poales; Poaceae.